CUACUACUCCCUCCGUCCGAAAAUACUUGUCAUUGAAAUGGAUGUAUCUAGAUGCAUUUAGGUUCUAGACACAUCCAUUUUGAUGACAAAUAAUUCCGGACGGAGGGAGUAUUAU
Non-coding RNA from Triticum aestivum (bread wheat), 115 nucleotides. NCBI's taxonomy places the organism in Eukaryota, Viridiplantae, Streptophyta, Magnoliopsida, Poales, Poaceae. The record is from Rfam.